CAGCAGCCGCGGGAAUACGGAGGGAACUAGCGUUGUUCGGAAUUACUGGGCGUAAAGCGCACGUAGGCGGUUACUUAAGUCAGGGGUGAAAUCCCGGGGCUCAACCCCGGAACUGCCCUUGAAACUGGGCAACUAGAAUCUUGGAGAGGUCAGUGGAAUUCCGAGUGUAGAGGUGAAAUUCGUAGAUAUUCGGAAGAACACCAGUGGCGAAGGCGACUGACUGGACAAGUAUUGACGCUGAGGUGCGAAAGCGUGGGGAGCAAACAGGAUUAGAUACCCCAGUAGUCCCUGUCUCUUAUAA
Molecule: ribosomal RNA, 301 nt
Filed under: uncultured bacterium
Lineage: Bacteria
Description: partial 16S ribosomal RNA
Rfam family: Bacterial small subunit ribosomal RNA
Source: RNAcentral